Long non-coding RNA from Cercocebus atys (sooty mangabey), 235 nucleotides. RefSeq lists it as uncharacterized. The record is from RefSeq and is a predicted model, not a curated record. The transcript is spliced from 3 exons. Lineage: Eukaryota; Metazoa; Chordata; Mammalia; Primates; Cercopithecidae.
CUUCUCUGUUUAGGACAAUGACCCCCAGACCGACUGACUUCAGGACUCACAUGUUACUUCCUACCAGCCCUAAGCUGAACUAUCUUUUGAGGAAGAUGCUUCUGGAUCACUGUCUCUUCAUGGUGCACUCAAUGUAAGACUCCAGCAGGAAGAUGGUUUCGUCCACCUGGAUCUCACUGGCAUCCAACCUGAGUGAAAAAGGUCUCACUCUGUCACCCAGGUUGGAGUACAGUGG